ACAAUGUGAAUGUACUUGAUGCCACAUAAAAAGUGGCUAACAUGACCACAUGGAAGGAGAGAAAACACCUGAACAGCUCCAACUGUGGCAGCCAUACCAGCCCAGAUGCCAGACAGUGAAUGAAGACGGGCAUCCCAUUCCCAGUAGAAAUGACGUGAAGAACCGAAAAAAACUCACCGACAGCCCUAGAUAUACACCUCCAGGUGACCAACCCAGACACCACCAACAGUUAGCGCUACUCCAGCUGAAUACUCCCCAACAAAAAUCUAUCCUUGCUAUGUGUUGCCUGAAUUCAUGACCAACAACGGUAUGAACAUAAUAAAAUGAUUGUUAUUUUA
RNAcentral lists this long non-coding RNA (338 nucleotides) under Homo sapiens (human). RNAcentral describes it as "HSALNT0349722". Lineage: Eukaryota; Metazoa; Chordata; Mammalia; Primates; Hominidae. The record is from RNAcentral.